Molecule: ribosomal RNA, 418 nt
Filed under: uncultured bacterium
Lineage: Bacteria
Description: bacterial SSU rRNA
Rfam family: Bacterial small subunit ribosomal RNA
Source: RNAcentral
GACGAACGCUGGCGGCGUGCUUAACACAUGCAAGUCGAGCGGUAAGGCCCUUUCGGGGGUACACGAGCGGCGAACGGGUGAGUAACACGUGGGUGACCUGCCCUCAGCUCUGGGAUAAGCCUGGGAAACCGGGUCUAAUACUGGAUAUGACUCCAUGACGCAUGUUGUGGGGUGGAAAGCCUUGUGCGGCUGAGGAUGGGCCCGCGGCCUAUCAGCUUGUUGGUGGGGUGANGGCCUACCAAGGCGACGACGGGUAGCCGGCCUGAGAGGGCGACCGGCCACACUGGGACUGAGACACGGCCCAGACUCCUACGGGAGGCAGCAGUGGGGAAUCUUGCGCAAUGGGCGAAAGCCUGACGCAGCGACGCCGCGUGAGGGAUGACGGCCUUCUGGUUGUAAACCUCUUUCAGCUCCGACG